UGGGGAAUCUUGCGCAAUGGGCGAAAGCCUGACGCAGCAACGCCGCGUGCGGGAUGAAGGCCUUCGGGUUGUAAACCGCUUUCAGUAGGAACGAAAAUGACGGUACCUACAGAAGAAGGUCCGGCCAACUACGUGCCAGCAGCCGCGGUAACACGUAGGGACCAAGCGUUGUCCGGAUUUAUUGGGCGUAAAGAGCUCGUAGGCGGUUCAGCAAGUCGGGUGUGAAAACUCUGGGCUCAACCCAGAGACGCCACCCGAUACUGUUGUGACUAGAGUCCGGUAGGGGAGUGGGGAAUUCCUGGUGUAGCGGUGAAAUGCGCAGAUAUCAGGAGGAACACCGGUGGCGAAGGCGCCACUCUGGGCCGGCACUGACGCUGAGGAGCGAAAGCGUGGGUAGCAAACAGG
This 405-nucleotide ribosomal RNA is filed under the name uncultured bacterium. Its description in RNAcentral is "bacterial SSU rRNA". It matches the Rfam family "Bacterial small subunit ribosomal RNA", at positions 355 to 776 of the family's 1533-position model. The record is from RNAcentral.